This 618-nucleotide ribosomal RNA is filed under the name uncultured bacterium. RNAcentral's name for it is "bacterial SSU rRNA". It matches the Rfam family "Bacterial small subunit ribosomal RNA", at positions 202 to 842 of the family's 1533-position model. The record is from RNAcentral.
CAAAGGUGAGCCAGUACAGGAUGGACCCGCGUCUGAUUAGCUAGUUGGUAAGGUAACGGCUUACCAAGGCGACGAUCAGUAGCCGACCUGAGAGGGUGAUCGGCCACAUUGGAACUGAGACACGGUCCAAACUCCUACGGGAGGCAGCAGUGGGGAAUAUUGCACAAUGGGCGAAAGCCUGAUGCAGCAACGCCGCGUGAGUGAUGAAGGCCUUCGGGUCGUAAAACUCUGUCCUCAAGGAAGAUAAUGACGGUACUUGAGGAGGAAGCCCCGGCUAACUACGUGCCAGCAGCCGCGGUAAUACGUAGGGGGCUAGCGUUAUCCGGAUUUACUGGGCGUAAAGGGUGCGUAGGCGGUCUUUCAAGUCAGGAGUGAAAGGCUACGGCUCAACCGUAGUAAGCUCUUGAAACUGGGAGACUUGAGUGCAGGAGAGGAGAGUGGAAUUCCUAGUGUAGCGGUGAAAUGCGUAGAUAUUAGGAGGAACACCAGUUGCGAAGGCGGCUCUCUGGACUGUAACUGACGCUGAGGCACGAAAGCGUGGGGAGCAAACAGGAUUAGAUACCCUGGUAGUCCACGCUGUAAACGAAGAGUACUAGGUGUCGGGGGUUACCCCCUUCG